This is a non-coding RNA of Triticum aestivum (bread wheat), 123 nucleotides long. The record is from Rfam. Lineage: Eukaryota; Viridiplantae; Streptophyta; Magnoliopsida; Poales; Poaceae.
CUUAUAUUUCAUCCGUCCCAAAAUUCUUGUCUUAGGUUUGUCUAGAUACGGAUGUAUUAGUAUUUGAUAUAUCCGUAUUUAGACAAACCUAAGACAAGAAUUUUAGGACGGAGGGAGUAUAAC